This 683-nucleotide ribosomal RNA is filed under the name uncultured archaeon. RNAcentral describes it as "bacterial SSU rRNA". It matches the Rfam family "Archaeal small subunit ribosomal RNA", at positions 102 to 785 of the family's 1478-position model. The record is from RNAcentral.
GGAUAACCUACCCUUAGGACUGGGAUAACCCUGGGAAACUGGGGAUAAUACUGGAUAGGCAAUUUUUCCUGUAAUGGUUUUUUGUUUAAAUGUUUUUUCGCCUAAGGAUGGGUCUGCGGCCGAUUAGGUAGUUGGUUAGGUAAUGGCUUACCAAGCUGUUGAUCGGUACGGGUUGUGAGAGCAAGAGCCCGGAGAUGGAACCUGAGACAAGGUUCCAGGCCCUACGGGGUGCAGCAGGCGCGAAACCUCCGCAAUGUGAGAAAUCGCGACGGGGGGAUCCCAAGUGCCAUUCUUAACGGGAUGGCUUUUCAUUAGUGUAAAGAGCUUUUGGAAUAAGAGCUGGGCAAGACCGGUGCCAGCCGCCGCGGUAACACCGGCAGCUCUAGUGGUAGCAAUUUUUAUUGGGCCUAAAGCGUCCGUAGCCGGUUUAAUAAGUCUCUGGUGAAAUCCUGCAGCUUAACUGUGGGAAUUGCUGGAGAUACUAUUAGACUUGAGACCGGGAGAGGUUAGAGGUACUCCCAGGGUAGAGGUGAAAUUCUGUAAUCCUGGGAGGACCGCCUGUUGCGAAGGCGUCUAACUGGAACGGUUCUGACGGUGAGGGACGAAAGUUAGGGGCGCGAACCGGAUUAGAUACCCGGGUAGUCCUAACUGUAAACGAUGCGGACUUGGUGUUGGGGUGGCUU